Molecule: RNase P RNA, 371 nt
Filed under: Candidatus Peregrinibacteria bacterium RIFCSPLOWO2_01_FULL_48_20
Lineage: Bacteria; Candidatus Peregrinibacteriota
Also listed under: 1 other name
Description: RNase P RNA component class A
Rfam family: Bacterial RNase P class A
About the family: Ribonuclease P (RNase P) is a ubiquitous endoribonuclease, found in archaea, bacteria and eukarya as well as chloroplasts and mitochondria. Its best characterised activity is the generation of mature 5'-ends of tRNAs by cleaving the 5'-leader elements of precursor-tRNAs.
Source: RNAcentral
UCGUGCUCCCUGGUGAUCACGUUUUUUUCGCUUUGGCGGAAGAGAUGAGGAAAGUCCGAGCAACACAAGGCAGGAAAGUCGUUAACGACGACCGCCCUGCGACCUCAAAAACGCAGAGUAGGGAAAGUGCCACAGUGACGAACAAAGUGAAACGCCCCUUCUGGCCGUAUUAUCAUGGCUAUGGGGCGCCCCCUCGUGAGAGGGAUGGCGCGGUAAACCCUUUCUGUUGCAAGGUGGGAAUGGAGGCUGAGAAUCGGCGGCCUUGCGCCCUCAGUCGCCCACCGCACGAGCCCCGCAGCAAUGUUGGGCCCAGAGAAAUGAUCAUCACCCGCUUCGGCGGGGACAGAACUCGGCUUAUAAGGAGCGGCCAA